UACGUAGGGCUCAAGCGUUUUCCGGAAUUAUUGGGCGUAAAGAGCUCGUAGGUGGCUUGUCACGUCGGGUGUGAAAGCUUGGGGCUUAACUCCAGGUCUGCAUUCGAUACGGGCUGGCUAGAGGUAGGUAGGGGAGAACGGAAUUCCUGGUGUAGCGGUGAAAUGCGCAGAUAUCAGGAGGAACACCGGUGGCGAAGGCGGUUCUCUGGGCAGUAACUGACGCUGAGGAGCGAAAGCGUGGGGAGCGAACAGG
This 253-nucleotide ribosomal RNA is filed under the name uncultured bacterium. RNAcentral describes it as "partial 16S ribosomal RNA". It matches the Rfam family "Bacterial small subunit ribosomal RNA", at positions 524 to 776 of the family's 1533-position model. The record is from RNAcentral.